RNAcentral lists this ribosomal RNA (292 nucleotides) under uncultured bacterium. Its description in RNAcentral is "partial 16S ribosomal RNA". It matches the Rfam family "Bacterial small subunit ribosomal RNA", at positions 505 to 796 of the family's 1533-position model. The record is from RNAcentral.
UUUUCAGCCGCCGCGGUAAUACAGAGGGGGCAAGCGUUAUUCGGAAUUAUUGGGCGUAAAGGGCGCGUAGGCGGCUUUUCAAGUGGCGGGUGAAAUCCCUCGGCUUAACCGAGGAACUGCCUGCCAGACUGGAUUGCUUGAGUCCGGGAGAGGUGAGUGGAAUUCCCAGUGUAGCGGUGAAAUGCGUAGAUAUUGGGAGGAACACCAGUGGCGAAGGCGGCUCACUGGACCGGAACUGACGCUGAGGCGCGAAAGCGUGGGGAGCAAACAGGAUUAGAAACCCUGGUAGUCC